GACGAACGCUGGCGGCGUGCUUAACACAUGCAAGUCGAACGGUGAAGGGACCGGUUUUUGCUGGUUCUGGAUGAGUGGCGAACGGGUGAGUAACACGUGAGUAACCUGCCCCCUUCUUCUGGAUAACCGCAUGAAAGUGUGGCUAAUACGGGAUAUUCUGCGCCUGCUGCAUGGUGGGUGUGGGAAAGAUAUUGUUUCGGUGGGGGAUGGGCUCGCGGCCUAUCAGCUUGUUGGUGGGGUGAUGGCCUACCAAGGCGGUGACAGGUAGCCGGCCUGAGAGGGUGGACGGUCACACUGGGACUGAGACACGGCCCAGACUCCUACGGGAGGCAGCAGUGGGGAAUAUUGCACAAUGGGCGCAAGCCUGAUGCAGCGACGCCGCGGGAGGGAUGGAGGCCUUCGGGUUGUAAACCUCUUUCGCCAGUGAAGCAGGCCUGUCCCUUGUGUGGGUGGGUUGGCGGUAGCUGGAUAAGAAGCGCCGGCUAACUACGUG
Molecule: ribosomal RNA, 493 nt
Filed under: uncultured bacterium
Lineage: Bacteria
Description: partial 16S ribosomal RNA
Rfam family: Bacterial small subunit ribosomal RNA
Source: RNAcentral